RNAcentral lists this ribosomal RNA (207 nucleotides) under uncultured bacterium. Its description in RNAcentral is "partial 16S ribosomal RNA". It matches the Rfam family "Bacterial small subunit ribosomal RNA", at positions 568 to 774 of the family's 1533-position model. The record is from RNAcentral.
CUCGUAGGCGGUUUGUCGCGUCGGAUGUGAAAACUCGGAGCUUAACUCCGGGCCUGCAUUCGAUACGGGCAGACUAGAGUUCGGUAGGGGAGACUGGAACUCCUGGUGUAGCGGUGGAAUGCGCAGAUAUCAGGAAGAACACCGAUGGCGAAGGCAGGUCUCUGGGCCGAUACUGACGCUGAGGAGCGAAAGCGUGGGGAGCGAACA